AUCAAGUAAGAAGACAUCUGUGUUGCACGGCAAUUUUUUGCUAUUUUAUGCUGUUGUGUCCUGCCUUGGUUGCACCAGAUUGUUGUGGUCUGCACAAGCGCAGAGAACUUCCCUUUUUUCCUGAUUACACACAGACAGUUGGUUGUUAUCCCAAAGACUCAGAUUCCAAACAAAUAUUGUAUGUAAUUAUUAUCCCUGUUUUCUUGGCAACAAUCCUAAUGGACCGAGAGCCACUGAGAGCUAAAGUAGAGGUCAUACCGGGGGUAAAGACAGACGGAGCAGCACAGAGGAACAGGAAAACACUGAGUCAUGGUUUUCUUACGGACUAGUUAAGAGCUUAAAGGGUGUUUAUCCAAGAAAUGAAACUUAGCCUUUGUUGCUUUAUUGCACCUAACAGUUCCUCAUGUUCAACUGGUACAACUGGUUAUACGUUAUAUAUGUUGUGUUUGACACCCUUUAUCAUGUGAGCACUUUCGUUUCUGAUAGGUAAGCGCACUUAGGUGUCGGUCUCCGGCAGCAUAAAUAGGCUGCAGGUCGCCGCUACUCUUACUGAUAGACGAAGAACUGAAGAGAUGGAUCCAAAAAGGUUUCAUGCAGAGCCCGGAGACCUGAUCGAGAUCUUCCGUGGGAAGUAUCAGCACUGGGCCAUCUACAUCGGUGGAAUGGAAGUUGUUCAUUUGACUACUCCAACUGAGUGAAAUGUUGCAUUUACUACAUUCAUCUUGGAAGACCAUCUAUAACCUUUUGCCUGUCACUCUCCUUAGUUAUAGUUUGUUGAUGAUGAUUCAAGCUCUUCUGGUUCUUCGUUGAUGGUCCUGGACAGCCCCAUAGGACAGGUGAA
Long non-coding RNA from Perca fluviatilis (European perch), 841 nucleotides. RefSeq lists it as uncharacterized. The transcript has 3 exons. Lineage: Eukaryota; Metazoa; Chordata; Actinopteri; Perciformes; Percidae. The record is from RefSeq and is a predicted model, not a curated record.